GACGAACGCUGGCGGCGUGCUUAACACAUGCAAGUCGAACGGAAAGGCUCCAGCUUGCUGGAGUACUCGAGUGGCGAACGGGUGAGUAACACGUGGGUAAUCUGCCCUGCACUCUGGGAUAAGCCUGGGAAACUGGGUCUAAUACUGGAUAUGACCUUUCUCCUUAUGGGGUUUGGUGGAAAGUUUUUUGGUGUAGGAUGAGCCCGCGGCCUAUCAGCUUGUUGGUGGGGUGAUGGCCUACCAAGGCGACGACGGGUAGCCGGCCUGAGAGGGUGAUCGGCCACAUUGGGACUGAGAUACGGCCCAGACUCCUACGGGAGGCAGAAGUGGGGAAUAUUGCACAAUGGGCGGAAGCCUGAUGCAGCGACGCCGCGUGAGGGAUGACGGCCUUCGGGUUGUAAACCUCUUUCAGCAGGGACGAAGCGUAAGUAACGGUACCUGCAGAAGAAGCACCGGCUAACUACGUG
This 467-nucleotide ribosomal RNA is filed under the name uncultured bacterium. RNAcentral's name for it is "partial 16S ribosomal RNA". It matches the Rfam family "Bacterial small subunit ribosomal RNA", at positions 28 to 507 of the family's 1533-position model. The record is from RNAcentral.